GGCCGGAUAGUGUAGUUGGUUAUGUGAGUAUUUCCCUACUUCUUCUCCUUCAGCUCAACAGCUAAUCAUUGAAAAGCGCGUGUCCUUUACAAUCCAUCUGAGAUUCCAAACGGACAAGGUCCGGGGUUCGAUCCCCCGUCCAGUCA
Molecule: non-coding RNA, 146 nt
Organism: Ciborinia camelliae
Lineage: Eukaryota; Fungi; Ascomycota; Leotiomycetes; Helotiales; Sclerotiniaceae
Source: the annotation of a GenBank genome assembly